Scaptodrosophila lebanonensis is the source of this 651-nucleotide long non-coding RNA. RefSeq lists it as uncharacterized. Lineage: Eukaryota; Metazoa; Arthropoda; Insecta; Diptera; Drosophilidae. The record is from RefSeq and is a predicted model, not a curated record. The transcript is spliced from 2 exons.
AAGAUAUUACUUCACUAAAUUACACAAAUAUUUCCAACAAAAAGAGUCUCACACAAUCAGACUUUUUUUACAGGAUCCAUAAGAGAAAAAAACACAACCUACACUAUUUUUGGCAAAAACAUAAAGCAACUACUUGAAAGAAAAUGGAACACAAACGCAAAAUCGAAACCAACGACCACGCCCAAGCUGGUAAUGCUGAUGGAGAGGCUCUGAACCCCAGCCUUGGUCCUUUAGUCGCUGCCAACGCUGUUCCAACUGCAGGUGAUGUUAUUCCUAUAGAUGGUGAUGGUGGUUGGCCUCCUCUUUUUGCAAUCGAUCAUCUGACUAUGGAUAAUGAUAUUGAUCCUUUACUUAUGGCUGCUGCGCUUGCCUCUAUUGUGAGCAUGGUCGAUUGCAACGAACACGUAGAACGCUUGAUGCAUCGAAUGAGGACCGUCUGGGCCAGCAUGAGGCACGUUUUGGGGCAAAUGCUGAAACAAACACGCAGACCGCGUCCAGCUUAAGAGUCCGUUUUAGUUGCUUCCAAUCCAAAUAAAGCGUAUAUAUUUUACUUAGGUGAACUUAUAACUUAAAGCUUUAAAUUAUAUGCAAAUUAAAACUAAAUGUUCUCUGCAUGUCCUAAAGCCGAAAAAUAAAAAAUUUAUUAUAGAA